This 73-nucleotide transfer RNA is filed under the name Neotoma lepida (desert woodrat). It matches the Rfam family "tRNA". Rfam says of the family: Transfer RNA (tRNA) molecules are approximately 80 nucleotides in length. The record is from Rfam by way of RNAcentral. Lineage: Eukaryota; Metazoa; Chordata; Mammalia; Rodentia; Cricetidae.
UGUAAUAUAGCUCAGUUGGUAGAGUGCUUAUUUUGCAUGCAAAAAAUUCAGGAUUCAAUAUCCAGUACCACAU